UACGAAGGGGGCUAGCGUUGCUCGGAAUCACUGGGCGUAAAGCGCACGUAGGCGGCUUUCUAAGUCAGGGGUGAAAUCCUGGAGCUCAACUCCAGAACUGCCUUUGAUACUGGAGAGCUUGGGUCCGGGAGAGGUGAGUGGAACUCCGAGUGUAGAGGUGAAAUUCGUAGAUAUUCGGAAGAACACCAGUGGCGAAGGCGGCUCACUGGCCCGGUACUGACGCUGAUGUGCGAAAGCGUGGGGAGCAAACAGG
RNAcentral lists this ribosomal RNA (253 nucleotides) under uncultured bacterium. Its description in RNAcentral is "partial 16S ribosomal RNA". It matches the Rfam family "Bacterial small subunit ribosomal RNA", at positions 524 to 776 of the family's 1533-position model. The record is from RNAcentral.